This 217-nucleotide unclassified non-coding RNA is filed under the name Archaeospora ecuadoriana. RNAcentral's name for it is "partial contains 5.8S ribosomal RNA and internal transcribed spacer 2". The stretch from base 1 to 71 matches the Rfam family "5.8S ribosomal RNA", at positions 84 to 154 of the family's 154-position model. Lineage: Eukaryota; Fungi; Glomeromycota; Glomeromycetes; Archaeosporales; Archaeosporaceae. The record is from RNAcentral.
GUGAAUCAUCGAAUCUUUGAACGCAUAUUGCACUCUCUGGUAUUCCGGAGAGUAUGCCUAUUUGAGGGUCAGUUGAAAUAAUAUAAAUUCCAAGAUUUCUCGGUGUUUAAAAUGGGUUGGCCAUUUUUUGUGGUUGUCUAAAGUCCAAGACAAGCUCAUUUUCUUGGUUUUCGUGAUACUUUCAGUUACCUCGUGUCUUAACCAGGAAUCAUCGGGG